CUGCACCUGUAAUCAGUGGAAGGCUAUACCCAAGUGCCUGAACACCAAGCAUCACAAGAGAAAUGAAAGGAACAGAAUCUGCAUCCUGCUUUAUGUAGAAUAGCUGGCUUANNNNNNNNNNNNNAUGAAAGUGUCAAAAUUCGGAGGAUUCCCUCAACCCCCCUGCGAGAUAGAAUGUCUUCUCUUUGCCUCCGAUACAUAAUGGGUAGAGUUUGAAGCCUAACUGUACUAAAAUGGAGGGGAUCAUCACCAUUGCGUUGGCUGGAUAUGGAAAUUCUAGCAGUUGGAUUUACUAACCACCGAGAUGUAGUGGGUGGAUAAGAGACAACCACUUCAAUUAAGCAAUCCAAACCUGCUUCAAGAUCCAUGCUGUCAAAUAAAAUGUUCCAUGAGGCUCGAACGUCCCUGCAGCCAACUAGAUACAUCUUGCCAACAUGAAGGUCAUAAAGGCCUUCAAGAAAAAGCACAGAAAAAUUGCCAUAAGCAUCUCCAUUAAGUGCGAUUUGAGCAGAUACAUUCAUAAGGAGCUGCUUUUCAGUGUAUUCAGCUUUACCAUGGUACGGAGUCUCCCCAUCUGCAGACGAAAUAUUGUGUGAAGACCAAUAUCGCCCAAACAAGGGGCCGAGUGAGAGAAUCUCCAUCUGAAAAUCAGUUCUUGUGGGCUGAGAACCAGAAAAUGGAUCAGGAAACGCAGAGGUGUGAAGGGUCAGGUCCUCUGCAAGAAGAGAGAGACUGGUUAUGUAUGCCUCAGUGUCUUCUAGUUUUGGGAACUGUAACAAUGAUUUCUUAAAGACAGCCUGAAAACUGAAGGGCUGAUUUUUUUCCAGGAUAAUAGCAGCUUUCUCUAUCUUUGAAUAACUGUAGUAUGGACGUGAGUUUCUGAAAUAAUUCCACAGCUCUGUGGGUCGCACUAGUUUCUCAAAUGAUAAAGGGAAAUACGAGGCAUUAAUUUUACUAGUGCUGGAAAAACUCCCAAUAAUUAUGCUUCGUUGCUUUAUGGAAAAUGACAUAGGAAUGUAUAAACAGACGCGAGAAUUACAGCUACUUCCAUCUGUAUCAACUAAUCCAAGGCAACCAACCAUGCAAAGCUGUCCACUGGAAGAUUUCCAAAUUCCUUCAGCAGCAACAGUCAUGUUGCUU
Molecule: unclassified non-coding RNA, 1140 nt
Filed under: Hevea brasiliensis (rubber tree)
Lineage: Eukaryota; Viridiplantae; Streptophyta; Magnoliopsida; Malpighiales; Euphorbiaceae
Source: RNAcentral